GUGCCAGCCGCCGCGGUAAUACAGGGGGCGCGAGCGUUGCUCGGAAUCACUGGGCGUAAAGCGUACGCAGGCGGGUCGAUAAGUCCGUUGUGAAAUCCCAGGGCUCAACCCUGGAACUGCAGUGGAGACUGUCGAUCUUGAGUACGGGAGAGGAGAGCGGAAUUCCUGGUGUAGAGGUGAAAUUCGUAGAUAUCAGGAGGAACACCGGUGGCGAAAGCGGCUCUCUGGCCCGAUACUGACGCUCAUGUACGAAAGCGUGGGGAGCAAACAGGAUUAGAUACCCGCGUAGUCC
RNAcentral lists this ribosomal RNA (292 nucleotides) under uncultured bacterium. RNAcentral describes it as "partial 16S ribosomal RNA". It matches the Rfam family "Bacterial small subunit ribosomal RNA", at positions 505 to 796 of the family's 1533-position model. The record is from RNAcentral.